UACGAAGGGGGCUAGCGUUGUUCGGAAUUACUGGGCGUAAAGCGUGCGCAGGCGGCUUCUCAAGUCAGGGGUGAAAGCCCAGAGCUCAACUCUGGAAUUGCCUUUGAGACUGAGUGGCUUGAGUACGGGAGAGGUGAGUGGAAUUCCCAGUGUAGAGGUGAAAUUCGUAGAUAUUGGGAAGAACACCGGUGGCGAAGGCGGCUCACUGGCUCGUAUCUGACGCUCAGGCGCGACAGCGUGGGGAUCAAACAGG
RNAcentral lists this ribosomal RNA (253 nucleotides) under uncultured bacterium. RNAcentral describes it as "partial 16S ribosomal RNA". It matches the Rfam family "Bacterial small subunit ribosomal RNA", at positions 524 to 776 of the family's 1533-position model. The record is from RNAcentral.